This 1514-nucleotide long non-coding RNA is filed under the name Ananas comosus (pineapple). Its description in RNAcentral is "long non-coding RNA (ACOM_LNC008626)". The record is from RNAcentral. Lineage: Eukaryota; Viridiplantae; Streptophyta; Magnoliopsida; Poales; Bromeliaceae.
AAAAUCACUUAAUGUAAAAAGAAAAUAAAAUUGAGAAGGUGUAAAUAAAAAAAUAUAUUAAAAUUAAAGGGAUUUUUUUUUUAAUUGUAGAAGAUGGAUUUUAUAUGAAUGUUACGUGAAAUAUACUUUACUAUCAAGAAUUUUGUCUAUAUAAUUUUUUUUUUGUGUAAUAUAUGUAAAUUAUUAUAUUUCAACAUAAUUAAAAAAUAAUUAACUCUUGGGGUGCGUUUGGUUCGUGCUAUUUUUUAAAGAUUCCUAGUAAUCCAAUGGAAAUAAAAAAAUAUGACGGUGUUUGGCUAACGCACUAAGUAAUCUAGUUGGUAAUAUUGGAUUCACUUGGGAAUAUGAUUCACCCCAAAGUAUUAAUCUCAUUCCCUUGAGGGAGGGUGGGUAUCCUCAUAUUAAUGGAUUGGGGUAAUCAUAAUAUGUCUAAUCUCUUUCUUUCUUCCUACCCGCCGGCUAAUUGAUAUUAUUUUUCUUUACAUUCUAACCUUAUAUCUCUCUCUAAACUUAUUUUUCUCUCUAAAAUUCAACUUUUUUUUCUCUCUCUAAACUAAGCUUUCUCUUUCUCUCUUUCUAAAAUUUCAACUCUCUCACUCUCUCUAAUUUCGACUAUAUUUUUCUUUCUAUUUUUUUAAUUAUGCUCUCUCUCUCUAACUUAUACUCUCUCUCCCUUUUUUCUAAAAAGAUGUUGAAAUUUUUGGUAACAUUAUCUAAAAUUAAUUAAAUAAAUUAAUUAAUUAACUGUAUAUUUUUUGCAAUAUUAAAUAAUAUGGCUAAUUAAUAUUACCAUGAGAACCAAACACAGGAAUUCUAUAUUCUUAGUAAUAGGAUGAAUAGGAAUAAGAUUCUCGGAUAUUUUUUAUUCCUAGUAAUCUUUCAUAAUGCGAACCAAACGCACCCUUGAGGUAAUAUUGAAAGUUGUAUAUCAUGAUAAACUGUGUAAUUUCAUAGCGAAAAAUAAAAAAGAAGCAUGAUUAUUAUAUUAGUAAACUAUAAGUAUUUUAUUAAAAAUUUUAAAAAGUAAAGUUGUCACGCCUCGGAUUACUCGUUUUUCCGGGCACGAUAACAGACCCGCCGUAUGCAUAGAAAUUUUUCCUGCAUACGAAGGAAAGCUGUACCUGUACUUGUAAUCAUAAAACACUACAACCAGUAGUGUAGAGCUACUGAAAUAGAGGUUCACUAUACAUACAUAGCAUCCUGGUAUACAAAAAUCACUCGCUCCAACGAGAUACAAACAUUAGUAUGUAUAAAAACCCAAAAACUACAACUAUCUGUAGCUGGUACUGUUAGGGAUUUUAUAAGUUGGCGAAUUUCGUGAAGGGUUUGGACGGAGUCUCGAAGAAUUAGAAGAUGAAGAUUGACGAAAAGAAUUGAAGUUUUGUGAUCAAAGACCCUUGAGAACUCAGGUAUGAUUAGAACCAAUUUAUGGUGAAAUUUUCAUUAUUAAAAGAUGUUUAGAAGACUUGUUUUUCUUUUCACUUAUUCAAAAGUUUUCUGAAAAAAUCAGGGGU